ACGCUCGACACCUACGGGAGGCGCAGUGGGGAAUAUUGCACAAUGGGGGAAACCCUGAUGCAGCGACGCCGCGUGAGCGAAGAAGUAUUUCGGUAUGUAAAGCUCUAUCAGCAGGGAAGAAAAUGACGGUACCUGACUAAGAAGCCCCGGCUAACUACGUGCCAGCAGCCACGGUAAUCUGAGCGGGCUGGCAAGGC
RNAcentral lists this ribosomal RNA (197 nucleotides) under uncultured bacterium. RNAcentral describes it as "partial 16S ribosomal RNA". It matches the Rfam family "Bacterial small subunit ribosomal RNA", at positions 328 to 539 of the family's 1533-position model. The record is from RNAcentral.